CAACAGGCAAUUAUGGAAUUAAGUAAUAUUUGUGUUUCAAACUUAUUUAUAUUUGUGAAUUUCCUUUACAACACCAAUUUCUACCAAAACAACAGCAAAAGCCACAGCUACCCUAGACAAUUUGCAAUUUCAAGCAUUCUCUGCGAUCAAGCCACCAACAAUCAUUAUUACCUAUUCCAGCUACACGGUAUAGUACCUGCUGCGCACAUGUUAAGCAAUGGCACAAGGGAAAUGUUAUCUCCUCACAGUCAAU
This 253-nucleotide unclassified non-coding RNA is filed under the name Hevea brasiliensis (rubber tree). The record is from RNAcentral. Lineage: Eukaryota; Viridiplantae; Streptophyta; Magnoliopsida; Malpighiales; Euphorbiaceae.